This 194-nucleotide ribosomal RNA is filed under the name uncultured bacterium. Its description in RNAcentral is "partial 16S ribosomal RNA". It matches the Rfam family "Bacterial small subunit ribosomal RNA", at positions 1307 to 1500 of the family's 1533-position model. The record is from RNAcentral.
GCAACUCGCCUACAUGAAGUCGGAAUCGCUAGUAAUCACAGGUCAGCAUACUGUGGUGAAUACGUUCCCGGGCCUUGUACACACCGCCCGUCACACCAUGGGAGUCGGGAAUGCCCGAAGCCAGUGACCCAAGCGAAAGCAGGGAGCUGUCGAAGGCAGGCCGGAUAACUGGGGUGAAGUCGUAACAAGGUAGC